UGUAACGGGGCUAAACCAUGCACCGAAGCUGCGGCAGCGAACGUAUCACUUAAAUUUGUUUGAGUGAAUAACGAUUGACGGAACGAAGUGACGUCAAUGCGUUAAUGAAAGUCGAGGCGAAAGCACGACAAAGCGAAUUUAAGGAUACGUUCGUUGGGUAGGGGAGCGUUCUGUAAGCCUGCGAAGGUGUACUGUGAGGUAUGCUGGAGGUAUCAGAAGUGCGAAUGCUGACAUAAGUAACGAUAAUGCGGGUGAAAAACCCGCACGCCGGAAGACCAAGGGUUCCUGUCCAACGUUAAUCGGGGCAGGGUGAGUCGACCCCUAAGGCGAGGCUGAAAAGCGUAGUCGAUGGGAAACGGGUUAAUAUUCCCGUACUGGUGGUAACUGCGAUGGGGGAACGGAGAAGGCUAGGUUGUCCGGGCGACGGUCGUCCCGGUUCAAGCAGGUAGGCAGAGUGAUUAGGCAAAUCCGGUCACUUAAUGCUGAGAUGUGAUGACGAACCACCAAGGUGGUGAAGCAAUUGAUGCCCCGCUUCCAGGAAAAGCCUCUAAGCUUCAGGUUACCAACAAUCGUACCCCAAACCGACACAGGUGGUCAGGUAGAGAAUACUCAGGCGCUUGAGAGAACUCGGGUGAAGGAACUAGGCAAAAUGGUGCCGUAACUUCGGGAGAAGGCACG
RNAcentral lists this ribosomal RNA (678 nucleotides) under Proteus mirabilis. Its description in RNAcentral is "partial 23S ribosomal RNA". It matches the Rfam family "Bacterial large subunit ribosomal RNA", at positions 1171 to 1750 of the family's 2925-position model. Lineage: Bacteria; Pseudomonadati; Pseudomonadota; Gammaproteobacteria; Enterobacterales; Morganellaceae. The record is from RNAcentral.